This 274-nucleotide ribosomal RNA is filed under the name uncultured bacterium. RNAcentral describes it as "partial 16S ribosomal RNA". It matches the Rfam family "Bacterial small subunit ribosomal RNA", at positions 523 to 796 of the family's 1533-position model. The record is from RNAcentral.
AUACAGAGGGUGCAAGCGUUAAUCGGAAUUACUGGGCGUAAAGCGCACGUAGGUGGUUCAUUAAGUCAGAUGAGAAAGCCCCGGGCUCAACCUGGGAACUGCAUUUGAAACUGGUGAGCUAGAGUAUGGUAGAGGUAAGUGGAAUUCCAGGUGUAGCGGUGAAAUGCGUAGAUAUCUGGAGGAACAUCAGUGUCGAAGGCGACUUACUGGACCAAUACUGACACUGAGGUGCGAAAGCGUGGGGAGCAAACAGGAUUAGAAACCCCAGUAGUCC